Molecule: non-coding RNA, 73 nt
Organism: Patiria miniata (bat star)
Lineage: Eukaryota; Metazoa; Echinodermata; Asteroidea; Valvatida; Asterinidae
Source: the annotation of a RefSeq genome assembly
UCCUGGUUAGCUCAGGCGGUAGAGCAUCAGACCUUUAAUCUGAGGGUCACGGGUUCGAGUCCCAUAUCGGGCG